CACUGCCGAGAAAAGCCUCUAGAUAGAAAAUAGGUGCCCGUACCGCAAACCGACACAGGUAGUCAAGAUGAGAAUUCUAAGGUGAGCGAGCGAACUCUCGUUAAGGAACUCGGCAAAAUGACCCCGUAACUUCGGGAGAAGGGGUGCUCUUUAGGGUUAACGCCCAGAAGAGCCGCAGUGAAUAGGCCCAAGCGACUGUUUAUCAAAAACACAGGUCUCUGCUAAACCGUAAGGUGAUGUAUAGGGGCUGACGCCUGCCCGGUGCUGGAAGGUUAAGAGGAGUGGUUAGCUUCUGCGAAGCUACGAAUCGAAGCCCCAGUAAACGGCGGCCGUAACUAUAACGGUCCUAAGGUAGCGAAAUUCCUUGUCGGGUAAGUUCCGACCCGCACGAAAGGCGUAACGAUUUGGGCACUGUCUCAACGAGAGACUCGGUGAAAUCAUAGUACCUGUGAAGAUGCAGGUUACCCGCGACAGGACGGAAAGACCCCGUGGAGCUUUACUGUAGCCUGAUAUUGAAAUUCGGCACAGCUUGUACAGGA
Molecule: ribosomal RNA, 539 nt
Filed under: Staphylococcus aureus
Lineage: Bacteria; Bacillati; Bacillota; Bacilli; Caryophanales; Staphylococcaceae
Description: partial 23S ribosomal RNA
Rfam family: Bacterial large subunit ribosomal RNA
Source: RNAcentral